This 371-nucleotide ribosomal RNA is filed under the name uncultured bacterium. Its description in RNAcentral is "bacterial SSU rRNA". It matches the Rfam family "Bacterial small subunit ribosomal RNA", at positions 335 to 695 of the family's 1533-position model. The record is from RNAcentral.
ACUCCUACGGGGAGGCAGCAGUGGGGAAUAUUGCACAAUGGGGGAAACCCUGAUGCAGCCAUGCCGCGUGUGUGAAGAAGGCCUUCGGGUUGUAAAGCACUUUCAGUAGGGAGGAAGGUAGUGUAGUUAACACCUGCAUUAUUUGUACGUUACCUACAGAAGAAGCACCGGCUAACUCCGUGCCAGCAGCCGCGGUAAUACGGAGGGUGCGAGCGUUAAUCGGAAUUACUGGGCGUAAAGCGCAUGCAGGCGGCCUGUUAAGUCAGAUGUGAAAGCCCGGGGUCUUAACCUCGGAAUUGCAUUUGAAACUGGCAGGCUAGAGUCUUGGUAGAGGGGUUAGAAUUUCAGGUGUAGCGGUGAAAUGCGUAGAG